GAUGAACGCUAGCGGGAGGCUUAACACAUGCAAGUCGAGGGGCAGCAUAGGGUAGCAAUACUCUGAUGGCGACCGGCAAACGGGUGAGUAACGCGUAUGCAACCUACCCUGUACAGGGGGAUAACCCGGAGAAAUUCGGACUAAUAUCCCGUAAUAAUAUCCGGAGGCAUCUUUGGAUAUUUAAAGUUUCGACGGUACGGGAUGGGCAUGCGUAACAUUAGCUGGUUGGUAAGGUAACGGCUUACCAAGGCUAUGAUGUUUAGGGGUCCUGAGAGGGUGGUCCCCCACACUGGUACUGAGACACGGACCAGACUCCUACGGGAGGCAGCAGUGAGGAAUAUUGGUCAAUGGGCGCAAGCCUGAACCAGCCAUCCCGCGUGCAGGAAGACGGCCCUAUGGGUUGUAAACUGCUUUUCCAGGGAGAGAAACUUACGCACGUGUUGCGUGACUGACGGUACCCUGGGAAUAAGCAUCGGCUAACUCCGUGCCAGCGGCCGCGGUAAACACGAGAGUA
RNAcentral lists this ribosomal RNA (514 nucleotides) under uncultured bacterium. RNAcentral describes it as "bacterial SSU rRNA". It matches the Rfam family "Bacterial small subunit ribosomal RNA", at positions 28 to 533 of the family's 1533-position model. The record is from RNAcentral.